GACGAACGCUGGCGGCGUGCUUAACACAUGCAAGUCGAACGGAAAGGCCCUGCUUUUGUGGGGUGCUCGAGUGGCGAACGGGUGAGUAACACGUGAGUAACCUGCCCUUGACUUUGGGAUAACUUCAGGAAACUGGGGCUAAUACCGGAUAGGAGCUCCUGCUGCAUGGUGGGGGUUGGAAAGUUUCGGCGGUUGGGGAUGGACUCGCGGCUUAUCAGCUUGUUGGUGGGGUAGUGGCUUACCAAGGCUGUGACGGGUAGCCGGCCUGAGAGGGUGACCGGCCACAUUGGGACUGAGGGACGGCCCAGACUCCUACGGGAGGCAGCAGUGGGGAAUAUUGCACAAUGGGCGGAAGCCUGAUGCAGCAACGCCGCGUGCGGGAUGACGGCCUGCGGGUUGUAAACCGCUUUCGCCUGUGACGAAGCGUGAGUGACGGUAAUGGGUAAAGAAGCACCGGCUAACUACGUG
RNAcentral lists this ribosomal RNA (468 nucleotides) under uncultured bacterium. RNAcentral's name for it is "partial 16S ribosomal RNA". It matches the Rfam family "Bacterial small subunit ribosomal RNA", at positions 28 to 507 of the family's 1533-position model. The record is from RNAcentral.